RNAcentral lists this long non-coding RNA (974 nucleotides) under Sorghum bicolor (sorghum). RNAcentral's name for it is "long non-coding RNA (SBIC_LNC001301)". Lineage: Eukaryota; Viridiplantae; Streptophyta; Magnoliopsida; Poales; Poaceae. The record is from RNAcentral.
GCCGUUUGGAUUGAUCACUUGGUCGCGGAGAAAUCCUGCUAUCGUCUCUUGGAUAGCUUUGAUUCGGUCUUGUUGUAGGACCUUAUCCCUCAGCCAUUCCGUCUUUAAUUUGAAAUAAAUAAAAAAGGUAUUAGUUAUCUAAGUUAUUCAAUAUAAUUCAGGAGAUAAUGAAAAGAGACAUGUAACGUACUCUGAGCGUCUCUGUGGGUGUUUGAUUGACUUGUGCCAUCAUGAAUUUGCACACGUAAUAUGCACAUAGAUUGUUCCCCCCUUCUUGUCUUAAACACCACUGUACGAUAUAUAUAUAAAAAUAUUCACGACCACGACAAUAAGAAGGCUAAAUGUUAGCGAAAGUUUGUUAGCUAGUAGAACUUACUUGUGCAUGUAUUAUGUUAAGUGGCGCUUUACAUCCACUGAGAUGUUCACGGUCAAUGAAUCUUUCCCAAACCCUAUACACAGCCAUGCAUUGUGGAUCGUGAACUAAUAAUUACAGAGUCAUAUUAUGAUAUUUUUGUAGCUGAGAUCGACAUUACGUACCUUUGAAUAAUGUUUACCAUUUGUUGAAAAUUUUCUUGUGGUUUUCUCAUUGAGUCAAAGAUUAUUAACCGGUUCUUGGGAAUUUCAAUGACCAUGAGUAUCCAGUGAAAGCUGUUUACACACACAUAUAUAUAGUCAGACCUAUAAUGUAAAAUAAAAUAUGCAUGCACUUAAUAAUUAUAUAACUCACUCGAAGUUAAAGGGGAAGAGUAUUUUUUGUUUUUCUUUUUGGUUCACAAAGAACCUCAUAAGAUUGGUGCAGACUUCUGUCUCAUGAUCUGCUGUCCACACUGCCUGCGGAGCCUAGAAAACAAUAUAAGGGUCAACGAACCCAAUACUAUUGUCAUUUCUCAUUCUGAGCUCUCUCAUUUGGUGCCUGCAUAUAUACAUACAAAUCCUAAGUGUGUAAGGAUUAUAUACAUGUAAUUAAAGAAGUU